This 110-nucleotide small nuclear RNA is filed under the name Mus pahari (shrew mouse). RNAcentral's name for it is "predicted gene, 24833 (MGP_PahariEiJ_G0033364.1)". Lineage: Eukaryota; Metazoa; Chordata; Mammalia; Rodentia; Muridae. The record is from RNAcentral.
GUGUUGUGUUGACAGAGUGGAAGUCAGCACUCUUAUAGGAGAGGUCCUCAGGCCUAACAUGCUUAUGUGGAAGACAUUGCUACCUUCAUAGCCUCUAAAUGCUACAUUUC